This 253-nucleotide ribosomal RNA is filed under the name uncultured bacterium. RNAcentral describes it as "partial 16S ribosomal RNA". It matches the Rfam family "Bacterial small subunit ribosomal RNA", at positions 524 to 776 of the family's 1533-position model. The record is from RNAcentral.
GACGAAGGGGGCUAGCGUUGUUCGGAAUUACUGGGCGUAAAGCGUGCGUAGGCGGUUUGUUAAGUCUGUCGUGAAAGCCCCGGGCUCAACCUGGGAAUGGCGAUGGAAACUGGCGAGCUAGAGUACGGUAGAGGAGAGUGGAAUUCCCGGUGUAGCAGUGAAAUGCGUAGAGAUCGGGAGGAACAUCAGUUGCGAAGGCGGCUCUCUGGACCAGUACUGACGCUGAGGCACGAAAGCGUGGGGAGCAAACAGG